RNAcentral lists this ribosomal RNA (253 nucleotides) under uncultured bacterium. Its description in RNAcentral is "partial 16S ribosomal RNA". It matches the Rfam family "Bacterial small subunit ribosomal RNA", at positions 524 to 776 of the family's 1533-position model. The record is from RNAcentral.
UACGUAGGGUGCGAGCGUUGUCCGGAAUUAUUGGGCGUAAAGAGCUCGUAGGCGGUCUGUCGCGUCGAAUGUGAAAGCCCGGGGCUCAACUCCGGGCUUGCAUUCGAUACGGGCAGGCUAGAGUUCGGUAGGGGAGUCUGGAAUUCCUGGUGUAGCGGUGAAAUGCGCAGAUAUCAGGAGGAACACCGGUGGCGAAGGCGGGACUCUGGGCCGAUACUGACGCUGAGGAGCGAAAGCGUGGGGAGCGAACAGG